This 422-nucleotide ribosomal RNA is filed under the name uncultured bacterium. RNAcentral's name for it is "partial 16S ribosomal RNA". It matches the Rfam family "Bacterial small subunit ribosomal RNA", at positions 359 to 773 of the family's 1533-position model. The record is from RNAcentral.
GAAUUUUGGACAAUGGGGGCAACCCUGAUCCAGCCAUCCCGCGUGUGCGAUGAAGGCCUGCGGGUUGUAAAGCACUUUUGGCAGGGAAGAAAAGGCUCUGGCUAAUACCUGGAACUGCUGAUGGUACCUGCAGAAUAACCACCGGCUAACUACGUGCCAGCAGACGCGGUAAUACGUAGGGUGUAAGCGUUAAUCGGAAUUACUGGGCGUAAAGCGUGCACAGGCGGUUCGGCAAGAAGGAUGUGAAAUCCCAGGGCUUAACCUUGGAACUGCAUUCUUAACUGCCGGGCUAGAGUAUGUCAGAGGGGGGUAGAAUUCCGCGUGUAGCAGUGAAAUGCGUAGAGAUGCGGAGGAAUACUGAUGGCGAAGGCAGCCCCCUGGGAUAAUACUGACGCUCAUGCACGAAAGCGUGGGGAGCAAAC